CCUACGGGUGGCAGCAGUGAGGAAUAUUGGUCAAUGGACGAGAGCCUGAACCAGCCAAGUCGCGUGCAGGAUGACGGCUCUAUGGUUUGUAAACUUCUUUUAUAUGGGGGUAAAGUGAGGAACGUGUUCCUUUUUGUAUGUACCGUAUGAAUAAGCAUCGGCUAACUCCGUGCCAGCAGCCGCGGUAAUACGGAGGAUGCAAGCGUUAUCCGGAUUUAUUGGGUUUAAAGGGUGCGUAGGUGGUUAAUUAAGUCAGCGGUGAAAGUUUGUGGCUCAACCACGAAAUUGCCGUUGAUACUGGUUGACUAGAGAAUAGUUGAGGUAGGCGGAAUGUGUGGUGUAGCGGUGAAAUGCUUAGAGAUCAUGCAGAACACCGAUUGCGAAGGCAGCUUACUAAGCUAUAACUGACACUGAGGCACGAAAGCGUGGGGAGCAAACAGGAUUAGAUACCCGUGUAGUC
RNAcentral lists this ribosomal RNA (460 nucleotides) under uncultured bacterium. RNAcentral describes it as "partial 16S ribosomal RNA". It matches the Rfam family "Bacterial small subunit ribosomal RNA", at positions 338 to 795 of the family's 1533-position model. The record is from RNAcentral.